AGUAACGGCGAGUGAAGCGGGAAAAGCUCAAAUUUAAAAUCUGGUGGCCCUUCCGCCAUCCGAGUUGUAAUUUAGAGAAGCGUCUUCCGCGCUGGACCGUGCAUAAGUCUCCUGGAACGGAGCGUCAUAGAGGGUGAGAAUCCCGUCUUUGGCACGGACCCCCAGGGCUUCUGUGAUGCGCUCUCGAAGAGUCGAGUUGUUUGGG
RNAcentral lists this ribosomal RNA (205 nucleotides) under Russula cutefracta. RNAcentral describes it as "partial large subunit ribosomal RNA". It matches the Rfam family "Eukaryotic large subunit ribosomal RNA", at positions 82 to 278 of the family's 3401-position model. The record is from RNAcentral. Lineage: Eukaryota; Fungi; Basidiomycota; Agaricomycetes; Russulales; Russulaceae.